AUUCCAAGGGGUGCUGUGAAAACGGCUGAGAUGAGCGACCGCUCGAACCCUCAAACCUGAUCCGGAUAAUACCGGCGUAGGAAUGCGAGUAU
This 92-nucleotide non-coding RNA is filed under the name human gut metagenome. RNAcentral's name for it is "TPP riboswitch (THI element)". The stretch from base 5 to 85 matches the Rfam family "TPP riboswitch aptamer (THI element)", at positions 9 to 90 of the family's 105-position model. Rfam says of the family: Vitamin B(1) in its active form thiamin pyrophosphate (TPP) is an essential coenzyme that is synthesised by coupling of pyrimidine and thiazole moieties in bacteria. The previously detected thiamin-regulatory element, thi box was extended, resulting in a new, highly conserved RNA secondary structure, the THI element, which is widely distributed in eubacteria and also occurs in some archaea. RNAcentral also lists the same sequence under 2 other names. The record is from RNAcentral.